AUGGUCAUUAUCUCGCCUUCUCUGGUCUGCACUGAGGGCCCACUGGCUAGGCUCACAGGGCAGUCACCAAAGCCAGACCAUCCCCGCCCUGCAAGGAUGGGCCUUGGUUCUGGGAUGCUGCAGAUGUUCAUAACCAAGUCCUCUGUCAUUUCCUCUCAACAGGAUACCUUGUGGCCCAGCCACAUGGGAUCUUCAGGUUGGGACAAGGAGAAGAGAAGGCAGGGAUGGCAGCUGGAGAAAGCCCACUGUGGAGCUGUCCAGGGAGCUCAAGGUCACAUGAAGAGUCAAAAGGAACAAUCAGAAGCCCUAUUCAUAAGGUGGUUUGAAGACUUCAUUGCUGUAGUUUGGAUUAACUCCCCUCCCAACCCCCAUCCCAAACUGCAUUUAUAAUUUGUGACUGAGAAUCAUUUGUUUGUUAAUGUACUGUGCCUUUAACUUUAUACAACUUUUUAUUUUGAUGUCCUGUUGGCUCAGUAAUGCUCAAGAUAUCAAUUGUUUUUGACCAAAUAAAUUUAAUGAACUUGGGCUAAAAUCAAACCUUGGCACACAGGUGUGAUACAACUUAACAGGAAUCAUCGAUUCAUCCAUAAAUAUUGUAAGGAAAAAAACCUAAGCAGUAGCCUGCAUUAGGGCUUUUUGAUAUUUACAGAUUGGGGGGAAACAAACAACAAAUGUCUUUGAAGCCUAUUAAUGGAAUUAGUUUCUAAUGUGGUGAACUGUAUUAAGUUAAGGUUCUGAUUUGUUCACUCUAUCCUGGAUAGGUAUUUAGAACCUGAUAGUCUUUAUUUAUUUUUUUUUAAAAUUUUUUUUAUUAGUUGGAGGCUAAUUACUUCACAACAUUUCAGUGGGUUUUGUCAUACAUUGAUAUGAAUCAGCCAUAGAUUUACACUUAUUCCCCAUCCCGAUCCCCCCUCCCAUCUCCCUCUCCACCCGAUUCCUCUGGGUCUUCCCAGUGUACCAGGCCCGAGCACUUGUCUCAUGCAUCCCACCUGGGCUGGUGAUCUGUUUCACCAUAGAUAGUAUACAUGCUGUUCUUUUGAAACAUCCCACCCUCACCUUCUCCCACAGAGUUCAAAAGUCUGUUCUGUAUUUCUGUGUCUCUUUUUCUGUUUUGCAUAUAGGGUUAUCGUUACCAUCUUUCUAAAUUCCAUAUAUAUGUGUUAGUAUGCUGUAAUAGAACCUGAUAGUCUUUAAACAAGUCAUUCCAGUCAUGAUGAGGUGAUGUAUGAAUACAUGCAUACAUUCAAAGCACUGUUUUCAAAUGUAAUGCAAAUAAAUACAGUAAUUUUUCAGUGAUUAGGCAAAUCAUUAAUUAUGAGCUAGCCAAAUGUGGGCAUAAUAUUACAGGGAAAGUUUAAGGGUCUGAUAACUUGAGAUAGGAUUUUAGGAGAAUUCAUCUACUUAGACUUUUUAAAUGCCUGCCAUAAAUGAAAUUGAAAUGGUAGAAUGGCUGACCACAGCAGUGACCAGCCCUUGUUAGGGCCCUGGGUGAUUUUUGAUCUAAUAACGCAUGCUAGUGUUGAUGUUUUUUGGUCAAGAGGGUAUGAACAGGAAGAAUUAAAUGCAGCAGGCUUUCUUUUAAAUGCCGAUUCAUAUUACUCUGUUCAAGCUCUGUUGAGAUGUUAAACUGUCUUACAAUAGACUUUGUAAAAAUGGCUCCAGAAGAGUGACAAACUGAAAUCUUUGAGAUCACACAGGUUGGAAGUAUGUACAUAACUGCACAAGGUGUCAAUUCUGCUACACAGUGCAGUUUUAGUCAGUUUUAGUUGCAUGGGUUUCCAUUGUAUUUAUAGUCUGUUUAUGCUAAAUCUGGCCAAAGAUGAGCAUUGUCCACCACUAAAAUGCCUCUGCCACUUUUGAAUUCUGUGCUAAUUUUGUGGCCAGAAUGCGGUGAUCAAAAUGCUCAAUCUUUUUACAGUGGCAUAGGAAGAUGGCAAAAAUUUCCUAAAGUGCAAUAGAUUUUCAAGUGUAUUGUGCCUUGUUCUAAAACUUUUAUUAAGUAGGUGCACUUGACAGUAUUGAGAUCAUUUGUUAUGGUGCUAUUUCAAUUAGUCUAGGUUUAGGCGCUUGUACAUUUUGCCCAUAACUUUUUACAAAGUACUUCUUUUAUUGCUUAUUCAGAAAAUUAUAUAUAUAUGUCUUGUGUGCAUGUCCUUAUACUUCCAAUAUUAUUUUGUCUCUUGGAGAUUGUUGAAGACAGCUUGUCUAGGAAGGGGAUGGGACUAGAUUCUAAAAUCUAUUUGGGACCAUGGGAAUGAUAGUUGGGAAGAAAACUAUUUGCACAUGACAGAUUUCUAGAUACUUUUUGCUGCUACUUUUAUGUUAUAUUUAUUGAACAUUUUGGCAAAUACUUAUUUUUGUAAGCCUAAAAGUGAUUCUUUGGAAGUUUAAAAAAGAAACUUGACCAAAAGACAGUACAAAAACACUGGCACUUGAAUGUUGAAUAUCACCAUAUGCGUGGAAUUAUAUAUUUCAGAGUAGUGUGAGCUUUUAAUGUUAAGUCAUAUUAAACUCUUAAGUCAAAUUAAUCAGACUUGGCAUUGGCAGUGUAGCCAUAACUUUCUGAUGUUAGUAAAAACAAAAUUGGUGACUUUAAAUUAAAUCAUGCCAAGGUUUUGAUACACUUUUCUUAAGUUAUUAAUGAAACACUUCAAAACACUGCUAUGAAGUGUCCAUAUUCAAAUAUUGUGUGUUUUGUUUUGUUGUGUGUAUUUUUUUUUUUCAGUGGAUAUCUGGCUCAUUGCAAUCCUGAAACGUGUGGUUAUCUUUGUUGUAUUGGCAUAAUCAGUGACUUAUACAUUCAGUGAUAGCAUUUGAGCAAGUUUUAUCAGCAAGCAGUAUUUUUAGUUAAUAAAUAAGGUUUCAAAAAUCAUGUAAGAAUGAAUUUAAACUUGCUGAAUGUAAAGAUUGAACCUCAGGUCACUGUAGCUUUAGUAAUUGCUUAUUGUAUUAGUUUAGAUGCUAGCACUGCAUGUGCUGUGCAUAUUCUGAUUUUAUUAAAAUAAAAGUUGAACUGCACGGUAAAAAAAAAAAAAACAAACAAACAAAGAAAGCAUCAUAAACUUGUAAUUAAUUUAGGCCAUAUCUUACCUCUCUUGCUUUUUACCUGAGCCUUCAACUGGCAUUCAUUCAGGUAGCUAUAGUUAACUCAGAAUUAGUGUUCUAGUUCUCAUUAUAUGUUUUUUGGAUGAAUUGAGCUCUAUUUAUGUCAAAAGUUAAUUAUCAACAUCAGUAUAUAUCAAUUUUCCUAGAAAAUUUAUAAUAGAAAUUUUGAAAAGUUCCAGAUUGUGUACUGGUUUCUAUACUUGCACCUAUGAAAUAUAUGAAAGGACAAUGAGUGUUCCCACAAAUGAAAAUGAUAUAGCUCUGGUCGCUGUGGAAAAUGGGGGCAAGUACACAUGAGAUUAGGGCCAGAUUAUAGUCUGAGCUGUCCCUACAGGGCCCACAGCAGGUCCAAAGAUCAUGCUAGAGGCAUUGGAGAGCCUCCUGGGGAGGGGGAGGGGGACUGUGGCUCACAGCAGAGGCAAGGACAGAGAAACCUGAGACCCUAAGAAAAAUUAUUUUUAUGGCUUGAUUUGUUCUGUUGUUUGUGAUUUUCUUCCUCCUUUGUUGUACUUAUUGCUUUUAUUAUUUUUUAUUUAUAGUCUUUUGAGAUUUAUUUUUAUCAUACUUUUUACUUUUAUACUUUGGUUUUCUGUUUUUCUGUUUCUUCUCCUUUUAUAAAUAUGCAUAUAGUUUUACUAUAUAUAUACAUAAUUUUAUUAUAGUUUAUUUUAUAUCUAUAUAGUUUUGGGCUUCCCAGGUGGCAUUAGUGGUAAAGAACCCAUCUGCCAAUGAAGGAGAUGGAAGAGACUCAGGUUCGAUCCCUGAGUAGGCAAGAUCCCCUGGAGGACAUAGCAACCGACUCCAGUAUUCUUGCCUGGAGAAUCCCAUGGACAGAAGAGCUCUUCCAUGGGGUCACAAAGAGUAGGACAUAACUGAAACGACUGAGCUUGCACACAUAUAUAGUAUUAUUAUAGUUCUAUUUUAAAUUUGCUUUUAUGUUCUGAUAUUUUCUUUCUUUUCAGUUAUUUUUGUCUGAUUUGUUUUCUUGGCUUUAUUAUUUUUCACUCUGGUUUUGUUUUCUGUUUUGAGUUUUUAUUAGUUUUGUUUAUAAUUGAUUUAAUUUUUGGUUUCUUUUGUUUGUCUGCUUGUUUUCUUGCUUUUGUUUUUUAGUUCUAUGUUUGUUUCCUGUGUGUGUGUGUACUUUUUUUUUUUAUCUUGUUUUUGUUUGAUUUUACUUUUACCAUUUGCCUGCCAUUUUUUCUUUAAUCUCCCUAUUGCUGUGAUGAGUGACAUUCAGGGUCUUGGUUCCCUGACCUGAAACCAGGCCUGACUGUCUAGGGAUACAGCACUGAAUCCUGGAUACUGGACAGCAAGAUGAUUCCUGGCCUCAGGGAAUAUUUAUCAGUGAUAGCUCCCACAAACACCAUCAUCUGAAUCCAAGACCUGGCUCCAUCCAACUGCCUGAAACAAGCAGUGAUGGAUAGCUCAUGUCAAGAAAAAGCAGGACAGGAACACAAACCCAACCGUAAGCAGAUAGGCUGCCUAAAGUCAAAGUAAGCUAACAGAUACCCCAAAUACACAACUUGACAUGGACUUGCC
This 4644-nucleotide long non-coding RNA is filed under the name Cervus hanglu yarkandensis (Yarkand deer). Its description in RNAcentral is "lncRNA (ENSCHYG00000017876.1)". The record is from RNAcentral. Lineage: Eukaryota; Metazoa; Chordata; Mammalia; Artiodactyla; Cervidae.